This is a long non-coding RNA of Rhinolophus ferrumequinum (greater horseshoe bat), 2284 nucleotides long. RefSeq lists it as uncharacterized. The record is from RefSeq and is a predicted model, not a curated record. The transcript has 4 exons. Lineage: Eukaryota; Metazoa; Chordata; Mammalia; Chiroptera; Rhinolophidae.
CAGGGGGACCCACGCGGGUGCUGUCCGCGCCGACGCGGCCUGCGCUCCGGCAGUGCCCCGCCUGUCCUCAUGGCCCUCAGCCGCUCCCGCAAACAGCAGCACCAGCCCAUGACGACCUGUCUCACCGGCCGUCAAAAGGGCCCGCCUCUCGACAAGGACGUCAGCCAGGCUGGCUCUUCUGAAGUCGCUCAGUACCAGAUAAGUGAUGGCCUGCAAAAGACCCAUCCUGGUCAGACUCCAGAGGCGAGGCCCGGCUGGACAGCCCGAAUGCGAUACCCGGAGAAGUGGCUCCAGAAGCCUGCUCGACGGCCUCUGUGACUGUUGGCACAGGAGAGGGAGGCAAAAGCCGGCCUCCAGGCAGAAGCUGUCCCCCAGCUCCCCUCCCGAUCCGGCUGCGUCUGGGAACAUCCACCCUCCGGGGCGUCGGUGCUCACUCUGACUCUGGGCUGUCACUCUGGGUCUACCCAUUGCACAGCGGCUGAGAGAACUUAAUCAUCGGGCAGGUUUGAGGAAAAACAGCUCCUGCACACCCCGCGUGUGAAUGGAUACACCUGGACUCUGCCAUCACUGGUAAUGUAGACUUCUGCUCUGUGGCUUGAAGACUUCUGAAGACGCCCCUACUUAUGAAGCUUUGGAGGGAGCUGUAGUGAUGCUUUUCUUCUGCCCACAGUGAAACUAUGAACCAUAAACCCUACUAUUUCCUGCAACAGGACUGUCCCAGGGACGCAAGCAGAAUCCCAUAACUCACGCCGGCGGAUUCCGCUCAGGGAAACAAAAGAAUUACAUCGCUCAGUUACGUAACAUCACAGUGUCUUCAAAUUUUCUGUCCCGGAAUCUUUUUCAGAAUUAAGAGCAAAAAACCAGAUUCUCCGGGGGAAAGGAGCACACAGCCUGGCUCAUAGAUGCCUAUCACCAAAUGUGUGUGCCUAGCAGUAACCACAAUAAGGAUUAGAGGGUCACCCCUUGGUGCAAAGCCAGGGUCUAGACUCAGCCCGUCUUUGCACUUGAGAGACACAGCACACAAUAUCUAUCACUGCGGGACCAACAAAAAGCAAUGGUUUUAAGGUUUUAAGCCCUUCCCAAACACGGAGCGGAUUCUGUGUCAGCCCUUCAGAGGCAGCAGACGGCUUUUGAACAUUGCAACACUUUCUUCUCUCAAGGGCACUGCAGAUUUUAUCACCCACCCCACACUCAACUAGGUCCUGCUGAGCCGGCAGAAUAUGGAAGGAGGUUUCAAAGCCACACACAGGAUCACGCGCCCCUCCUUUCUCUCCUCGGCUGUCCCGGACGGAUGGAGAGCUCGGGAGAAUGCUGACUUUCGUAUGCUGACAGGCCCGAGGGAAACGCCUCGGUUCUUGGGGACAGUUGGCUCCCAGUGCCUCAGGCAGCUGCCCCCAGAGCGACGGGGCUGGGGGUGUCUUCUGCACUUGAUUUCCAGCCGGGAAGUCUAUGCACAUACAGUCAACUGUUCUCUCCAUCGAUAAAAGAUGGCAAUGACCUGUUUCUCCAGACACACUGUCCCCUGGGAGCAGGCCGCUAAGGAGCAACUGAAGGGCCUCUCCACUCACUUCCUGCUCGGAGGGAAGCUAUUCCUUCGCCUCAUCCUUGUGCCUACCGAGGCCGCACGCGUCCAUUAGUGACUAAUGUGGGAGGAAGGCGGUGCGGGCCUCUCCUGGCCACACGCACACACUCCAUUUACCUCGCCGGCCACUCUGAACUGGAGAACAGCCUCUUAUUUUACACUCGCGUGACUUUCAAUGCCAACUUCCACUAGAAGCUGCCAGUAGCCGCUGACAAAAUUGUCUCACUCAAUUAUGAUGCCACAGACUGACCUUAACCUGAACCAAAUGUCACAUGAGGCUGCACUCCCCUGCUGCACAUUUGAAAUAUUUAUCCAAAGAAGCUUUUCAGUCGUAAAGAAAUGGGUAGAGUUAACACAAAGGUGAAUCUCAGAAGCACCCUGAUUCACUGACUUUAAAAUUGACAGCAGAUCUUGGAAUUCCUUCCUGAGAACACUCAGCAGAGACUUCAGGCAACGCUUUCCAGAAAGAGGCUGGAGUGCCCUCCAUCCAUACUCUAACCCAGCAGUCACCAAAUGCUUCAGAUCACAGAGCUGUCCGGAAGAGAGACAACCCUAUUUCCAGCACAUGCUACCAAGAUUCUGCUAAAAGGUUUAUUAUGAAGUAUACGAUUUACUUUUAAUCCAUAUGCUAAUAAAGGUUAAUUUCUUAGUAAAAAUUGAAAGAAAUAAAAGUUCUAACUUUUCCUUCUCAUCUUCCCGCGG